Long non-coding RNA from Cheilinus undulatus (humphead wrasse), 444 nucleotides. RefSeq lists it as uncharacterized. The record is from RefSeq and is a predicted model, not a curated record. NCBI's taxonomy places the organism in Eukaryota, Metazoa, Chordata, Actinopteri, Labriformes, Labridae. The transcript has 4 exons.
UUUGUGUGGACAGAUGAAGUCGGGUUGCUUCCUAGUGACAGUCAACCACUAAAUAAAUAGAUAUUUUAAAAAUGGGAACAUAUAAACAUUGGCAGGAACUGAGCAGCACAAACAAAAAGCACACAGGCCAAGAUCAAGUCUCUGACGGACUACAUGCUGAACAUGGAGCAGAAGAAGAGACAGCUGGAGGAGAGCCAGGACGCUCUGACUGAGGAGCUCGCUAAGCUGCAGGCUCAUGAGAAAAGAUGUCAGGAGAGGAGAAGGAGGACAUGAUGGGGACGGGGACAUAAAGUCUGAACAAGGGUCUGCGGCUGGAGCAGGAGAGGCUGAUGUCAGACUACGACAAACUGAAGACUGAAGAGCAGGAGAAGGACGCCAAGCUGCAGAAACUCAUGCUGCUGAAUGAGCAGAGGGAGCAGGCCAGAGAGGACCUGAGGGACCUGG